GGGGCCGUAGCUCAGUUGGGAGAGCGUCUGGUUUGCAACCAGAAGGUCGUGGGUUCGAUCCCCUCCGGCUCCACCA
RNAcentral lists this transfer RNA (76 nucleotides) under Planktomarina sp. RNAcentral describes it as "tRNA-Ala". It matches the Rfam family "tRNA". From Rfam's summary of the family: Transfer RNA (tRNA) molecules are approximately 80 nucleotides in length. Their secondary structure includes four short double-helical elements and three loops (D, anti-codon, and T loops). Lineage: Bacteria; Pseudomonadati; Pseudomonadota; Alphaproteobacteria; Rhodobacterales; Paracoccaceae. The record is from RNAcentral.